CAGUAGCCGCGGUAAUACAGAGGGUGCGAGCGUUAAUCGGAUUUACUGGGCGUAAGGCGUGCGUAGGCGGCUUUUUAAGUCGGAUGUGAAAUCCCUGAGCUUAACUUAGGAAUUGCAUUCGAUACUGGGAAGCUAGAGUAUGGGAGAGGAUGGUAGAAUUCCAGGUGUAGCGGUGAAAUGCGUAGAGAUCUGGAGGAAUACCGAUGGCGAAGGCAGCCAUCUGGCCUAAUACUGACGCUGAGGUACGAAAGCAUGGGGAGCAAACAGGAUUAGAUACCCCGGUAGUCCCUGUCUCUUAUAC
RNAcentral lists this ribosomal RNA (301 nucleotides) under uncultured bacterium. RNAcentral describes it as "partial 16S ribosomal RNA". It matches the Rfam family "Bacterial small subunit ribosomal RNA", at positions 509 to 807 of the family's 1533-position model. The record is from RNAcentral.